Molecule: long non-coding RNA, 313 nt
Organism: Amblyraja radiata (thorny skate)
Lineage: Eukaryota; Metazoa; Chordata; Chondrichthyes; Rajiformes; Rajidae
Exons: 3
Source: RefSeq, a predicted model, not a curated record
GCUUCAGUGAACACUUUUGAACACUGAGUACAAUUCUGUGGCAAAAGCAGGGGAAUCCCAAACUGCGGCAUGGCAGUGUGAUGUGAUCUUCCUGUUCAUUUUCCACAGUGGUGGGGGGGAGGGGGUGUACAUACUAUACCUACCCCCAUUAUCAGACUUGACGAACUCUGGAUGUACAGUGAAGCCUGUGCUAUGUGGUCACCUGGGAACUGAUCGCUGCUUACCACAGCCCACGUUCCCCCAUUGCUCCUCCAGACAUGAUCGUAACAUUUAACCUGUUCGCUGCCAAGUAUAAUUCCCCCCCCCCCCCCCC